AUGUGUGCAUGCCCACGCAUGUGUGCAUGCAUGCAUGUGUGUAUGUGCAUGUAUGUAUG
RNAcentral lists this microRNA precursor (59 nucleotides) under Sorex araneus (European shrew). RNAcentral's name for it is "miRNA (ENSSARG00000017315.1)". Lineage: Eukaryota; Metazoa; Chordata; Mammalia; Eulipotyphla; Soricidae. The record is from RNAcentral.